GGGAACUCCUAUAUAAGAUGCGUUUGAACAGGAACACACACAAAGCAAGGUGAGGCAUUGAUCCACUGACCAGGAUGCUGGGACCAGAGGGUUCCAGGAGCCCAACCCUGUAUCUCCCCUGGGAGCAGUGGCUUGGAAUUUGUGAUUCAGUGUUUGCAGUCAUCUUCUAGGACGUAACUACGGUGACUCCAGAGAGUUGGACUGAGUGUCGUUUGCACGUGGAUGUCACCAGAGGAGAAAUUUAAGGAACAAUGUCGGGGUCAUGUCUAAGUAGGCAGAUGUUUCGUUCACUCAGAUUGUGAAGUAUUCCGCGUGUUACAUGAGAGUCUUAAAGCGGUUCCCUAAUGCGAGCGGCAUCCCUGAGCCCAUCACUGGAGCUCACCCAGAGGAGAAGUGUUUUCACGAUGGCAAAUGCUUUUGCUCUUUAAACGUAACUGGGAACCUACGUCUCGCUGAGUACUUAAAGCCUGAGACUCGGGGGACCAGCAUCUGAGUUACGCUUUUAUUAUUUAACUAAAGCGUCUGUUGCCCCAAGAAUAAAAGGCUUCAGAAAAGGAGCCUGGAGUUUGGAAGCGGCCCUGACCGCCCGAUUGACAUUCAGAACCAUCUUUUAGCCUCUGAUUUCACAUGGGUUCCGCUAUUUUUUUUUUUUUUUAAAUAGCCGUUAGUCCCACAAUCACUCAUCCCCACUAAAUACAGUCCAUAAAAAGUAAUUGCCAUGGUUUUGAACAAUUUAUAUUCCGAGGAGCGGAGUGUAUUUUAAGAUGUGACUGGAUCCUUCUAGAAUCCCCACCGGAGGGCUUGGCAUUUCAGUGGACGGACACACACACGCUUCACCCAGAGUGUGAUGUGGGCGUGCGUAAGUCCUUCCUCGCUUCUUCUGGGACAGAUCUCUGGUCCAGGAAAGCCUUUCCUCGCCCCACCGACUCCUCUUUGUAGAAUGGUUUAUAAGCUCAAAUCAGAUUCCAAGUCUGAUUCCCCCCCCCAAUAAAUGUUAAAGCCAGUGGGUUUCCUUUUCUUCCCAUAUAUGCUGUUUUUAUUCAUAUUUAUUGGAUCGGUAGAAACUUCUGAGCUCCUGCUUUGUGCCUGGGCCUGUCCUGGGUGCUGGAGGUAUAAAGCCAGCCAGCUCCCAAGCCGGGGGUCAAGGAGCCCACCGUAGGCAGGGAGAAACAUCGUAUCACAGUUUGUGUUUUUGUUUUGUUUUGUUUUGUUUUGCUUUUUAGGGAGGAUCCCAGGCAGGGGCCAAUCAGAGCUACAGCUGCCGGACUGCACCACAGCUGCAGCAACGCCAGAUCUGAGCCAUGUCUGCAAGCUACACCAUGGCUCCCAGCAACGCCGGAUCCUUAACCCACUGAGUGAGGCCAGGGAUUGAACCUGCAACCUCAUAGUUCCUAGUCGGAUUCAUUUCUGCUGUGUCACGACGGGAACUCCUGUGUUGGGUUCUUAACCUGCUGAGCCACAAUGGGAACUCCACUGGAUCUGUUUUGGGGUUUAGGCAAGAAUAGGGGAGCGAUGAGAGAGGAGGCUGGAAAGGGACUUAGGGCUUGGGUUUCCGAGACUUUCUGUGCCACACUUAGGGUUUGGAGCUUAUCUAGAAGGUGGAGGAAUUGAAGGGGACAUGUGAACAACCUUUUUGAGUGUUUGAUAGCCCACUUUGGGGUGAAAGGUGGGAAGCUGGAGACAGGGGUCAGGCAGCCCAGUUCAGUUGCUUUUGGAUUGGUCGGUGGGACAGAAUGGGGAGAGGUAGGCGACCCAGCAGGCAGGGCGAUGGGGAGACGGGGACGGACAGAGGCUCUGCAGUGGCUCCGUCUAAUUCUCUGGGAUCAUUUCGGAUUUCAGAGCCUCAGUCCAGGACAGCAGAGGUUUCAUGCUUGGGCACUUGGGUAAAAGAUGGUGCUUUCUGCUGAGGACACUCGGGAGCAGGUUUGUGGGAGAAAACAGAAUUGCCUGAACCGUGAGACCCUAGAAUCAGCGUCACGGCAUAAAUCCAGCUCCGGGAUUGUAUCCUGGAAACAAGGUUGUUGUUGUUGUUUUGUCCCCCAGUCUUGUUUGCAUGUUUUUGCCUGCAUUAUCUACCCGAGGAAUUCAUGUUGAUCUGUUUGUUAGCAGCAAGAGGCCAUGGAGCAAAAUGUGUGAAAUUACCCGGGAGGAAAGAAAAAAAAAAUCUCUAACGGUGUGGUCUGAACACCAGCGUCGGCACAUGAAACCAGGGGCUGUGGGCUGGUUUUUCGCAGGUGACUUAGAACAAGCUGUCACCUCCUGGCCAUCCUGUGUUCGCCUCUGCCCUGUGGAAUUGCACAGGGGCUCAGAACCCCGGUUCUGGUUUCAGGCAGGCUUAGUUCACCUCUCCCUUGGGCGAGUCCCCGCUCUGUGCCCGAACAUCUUUCUUGCAUAGUGGUGAUAAUAGCACCCACCUUAUUUGUGCCUGUUAAAGAAGAUAAUUGAUGGUGUUUCUUAGCCCAGUUCAUGGCACAGUGAGCACUGAGAAGAAGUGUAUCUUGAAGCAAUUACAAGAACAGAUCUUAUAGAAUGAUGAUAAAUUAAUGACCAAACAUCAACCUGGAUUCAGGUUUCUAAGAAAUUUAGCCUUCAUUUAAGCAAUGAUGCACCAUAGAAUUCCUGUAGAAAACCUUCCUGUUAGUGCAUUUAAAAAUACUCAAUUUGUAGGAGUUCCCACUGUGGCAGGAUUAGUGUGGUGUCUUGGGAGCACUGGGACACAGGUUUGAUCCCUGGCCUGGCACAGUGGGUUAAGGAUCCAGCGUUGCCUUAGUUGCUUAGGUCACAACUGUGGCUUGGAUCUAAUCUCUGGCCCAGGAACCCCAUAUGCUGCAGGACAGCCACACAGAACAGAACAAAACCUCAAUUUGUAAAAAUUCCACAUACUUUAAAAUCAUAGUCUGUUAGUAAUAAUAAUAAACUGUAUUAUAUAAUGCAUUGAACUUUUUUUUUUUUUUUUUUUUGGCCAUGCCCGUGGCGUGUGGAAGUUCCUGAGCCAGGGAUCAAACCCUCAUCACAGAAGUGAUCCAAGCAACACCAGUGACAACAUCAGAUCCUUAACACACUGAGCCACCAAGGGAACUCCAUUGUCCAUUGAGCUUUUUUUCCCCUCUAUAUCAUCUCAACUAGUCCCUCCUGACUUCACUGUGACAGCACUGAGGCCAGGGAGCUCCAGGACGUCGCUCAAGGGACAGCACAGGGGCUGCUGGAAACUUCUGUUGCUCUUGAAAGAACAGCAUCAAAGAGAAAAAAAAAAAA
This 3255-nucleotide long non-coding RNA is filed under the name Sus scrofa (pig). RNAcentral's name for it is "lncRNA (ENSSSCG00015056898.1)". Lineage: Eukaryota; Metazoa; Chordata; Mammalia; Artiodactyla; Suidae. The record is from RNAcentral.